This 66-nucleotide transfer RNA is filed under the name Ptiliidae sp. BMNH 1274726. Its description in RNAcentral is "tRNA-Val". The record is from RNAcentral. Lineage: Eukaryota; Metazoa; Arthropoda; Insecta; Coleoptera; Ptiliidae.
CAAAUUAAAGCUUUAAAAGUAUUUUAUUUACACUAAAAAGUUUAUUAUUAGAUUAAUAUAAUUUGA